GCCCGUGUGGUGGAAUGGUAGACACACGAGACUUAAAAUCUCCUGCUCCUUGGGGCGUGCCGGUUCGAGUCCGGCCACGGGCACCA
Molecule: transfer RNA, 86 nt
Filed under: Limimaricola cinnabarinus
Lineage: Bacteria; Pseudomonadati; Pseudomonadota; Alphaproteobacteria; Rhodobacterales; Paracoccaceae
Description: tRNA-Leu
Rfam family: tRNA
About the family: Transfer RNA (tRNA) molecules are approximately 80 nucleotides in length.
Source: RNAcentral